RNAcentral lists this RNase P RNA (441 nucleotides) under Armatimonadota bacterium. Its description in RNAcentral is "RNase P RNA component class A". It matches the Rfam family "Bacterial RNase P class A". From Rfam's summary of the family: Ribonuclease P (RNase P) is a ubiquitous endoribonuclease, found in archaea, bacteria and eukarya as well as chloroplasts and mitochondria. Its best characterised activity is the generation of mature 5'-ends of tRNAs by cleaving the 5'-leader elements of precursor-tRNAs. Cellular RNase Ps are ribonucleoproteins. Lineage: Bacteria; Bacillati; Armatimonadota. The record is from RNAcentral.
GGGAUGGGGCGGGCGACCGCAGGCAACGCCGUUUAGCGGCGAUUGCCUGAGGAAAGUCCGGCCUCCACAGGGCAGGGCGCUCGCCGAGAGCAGGGACGACAGUUCCCUCCUCAAGGCGAGGAAGUCGCUCUGGCAAGGUGCUGGGGCGACUUCGGAAAGUGCCACAGAAACCACACCGCCAUCGGGUUAGCGCCUCGCUGGCUCUGCCGCCAGCCGCUGGCGGGUUGGCGUUGCCUGAUGGUAAGGGUGAAAUGGUGGGGCAAGAGCCCACCAGCGGCGUCGCGAGGCGUCGGCUGGGCAAACCCCGCUCGGAGCAAGACCAAAUAGGGGGGCGCCAUCAGGUGGCCCGCCGAUGCCCCCGGGUUGGUCGCUCAGAGAAAUGGUCGCCCGCAUCGGUAAAAACCGAUGCGACAGAAGCCGGCUUAUAGCCCCAUCCCGCCG